This 660-nucleotide long non-coding RNA is filed under the name Brassica rapa (field mustard). Its description in RNAcentral is "long non-coding RNA (BRAP_LNC004677)". Lineage: Eukaryota; Viridiplantae; Streptophyta; Magnoliopsida; Brassicales; Brassicaceae. The record is from RNAcentral.
CUUCUCUGCCUUUAUUUGGUGUGUGGGGGGUUUGGGGGCUUUACUAGUGAGUGGCAGAAUUUAGCCGCAAACUUACUGCCUGCUUCGCCGGAAAAUUUCAUGUGUUUAUUUGGUCUGGGGUAUAAGUUUGGGAUCAGACCUAAAGACUUUUUAACUUGUGCUCUCUGGAUCUUGAUUUGUUUGGAGUAAACUCACUGAUGCCAAUGGUCAGGACGGAGUAGUCAACCACCUCUUUAUUUACGGGUCCAUCUCUGAUGUUAUCCUGGUGAGGAUUUGAAUUCCUAGUUCUAGCUUUGUUUUUCUAGAACUUGUUAGACUUUGUUAAGUUUGUAAGUGUGUUUUACUUACAAGGCAGAAUGGGAUCCAAGGUAAAACUUGCACCAAUUGUUUAUUUUCAUAAAUGAUAUUUAUAUUCUUAACAACAAAAAAAAAAAAUUGAAAGAUGUUAGCAAAAAAAAUAUAUGAAUAUGUUGUGGGCUGCAUGGGAAAUGGGACCAACAAGUGGGCUCCGGAUGGUUAAAAGAGGUUCACAUGAGAAAUUGAAUAUUGCGUUAGUAAAGUUCAUUCCCCCUGGUGAUUUUGAUAUGCUUAUUUACAAGUUCGGUGUUCAAAAGAAAUAACUUAUUAUAAUCAUAUAACUAGUAGGAUUCACUGUUACGG